AUACCGCGAAACUGCGAAUGGCUCAUUAAAUCAGUUAUCGUUUAUUUGAUAGUACCUUACUACUUGGAUAACCGUGGUAAUUCUAGAGCUAAUACAUGCUAAAAAUCCCGACUCACGGAGGGAUGUAUUUAUUAGAUUAAAAACCAAUGCCCUUCGGGGCUCCUUGGUGAUUCAUAAUAACUUCUCGAAUCGCAUGGCCUUGUGCCGGCGAUGGUUCAUUCAAAUUUCUGCCCUAUCAACUUUCGAUGGCAGGGUCUUGGCCUGCCAUGGUUACAACGGGUAACGGAGGGUUAGGGCUCGACCCCGGAGAAGGAGCCUGAGAAACGGCUACUACAUCCAAGGAAGGCAGCAGGCGCGCAAAUUACCCAAUCCCGAUCCGGGGAGGUAGUGACAAUAAAUACUGAUACAGGGCUCUUUUGGGUCUUGUAAUUGGAAUGAGUACAAUUUAAAUCCCUUAACGAGUAACAAUUGGAGGGCAAGUCUGGUGCCAGCAGCCGCGGUAAUUCCAGCUCCAAUAGCGUAUAUUAAAGUUGUUGCAGUUAAAAAGCUCGUAGUUGAACCUUGGGCCUGGCUGGCCGGUCCGCCUCACCGCGUGCACUGGUUCGGCCGGGCCUUUCCCUCUGGGGAUCCCCAUGCCCUUCACUGGGUGUGGCGGGGAACCAGGACUUUUACUGUGAAAAAAUUAGAGUGUUCAAAGCAGGCCUAUGCUCGAAUACAUUAGCAUGGAAUAAUAGAAUAGGACGUGCGGUUCUAUUUUGUUGGUUUCUAGGACCGCCGUAAUGAUUAAUAGGGACAGUCGGGGGCAUCAGUAUUCAAUUGUCAGAGGUGAAAUUCUUGGAUUUAUUGAAGACUAACUACUGCGAAAGCAUUUGCCAAGGAUGUUUUCAUUAAUCAGGAACGAAAGUUAGGGGAUCGAAGACGAUCAGAUACCGUCGUAGUCUUAACCAUAAACU
This 953-nucleotide ribosomal RNA is filed under the name Monosporascus cannonballus. RNAcentral's name for it is "SSU rRNA". It matches the Rfam family "Eukaryotic small subunit ribosomal RNA", at positions 76 to 1038 of the family's 1831-position model. The record is from RNAcentral. Lineage: Eukaryota; Fungi; Ascomycota; Sordariomycetes; Xylariales.